AUGUCCAUGUCCAUGGCCACCACCGCCCUCCUCCGGCUCGCGCCGCUGCCGCCGCACGCCCGGCUCCUCGCCCCGAGCUCCAAGAAACCCUCCCUCCUCCUCGCGCCCCUCGGCAGCGGCCGCCGCGCCCUGCGGCUCGCGAGGGCCGCCGGCGACGGGCUCGCGGACCAGACCGUCUACAACGGCGUGUACGGGCCCUGGUCCGUGGACGACGCCGACGUGCGGGAGGUGCUGCUUUACCGGGCCGGGCUGGUCACGGCCGCCGCGUCCUUCCUGGUGGCCGCCUCGGGGGCGUUCCUGGCGGAGGGGAACGCGGUCGGCGACGCCGUCCGGCAGGGCGCCGACCUCUUCUACGCCGCCGGGGCCGGGGGGCUCGGGCUGUCGCUGGUGCUCAUCCACAUCUAUGUCACCCCCAUCAAGCGGUUCCUCCAGGCGCUGUGGGCGGUCGGCGUGCUCGGCUCCGUCGGCACCUACGCCCUCGCCGCGCGGCCGCUCGACGAGGGGCUCGUCCGGUACGUGCUCGAGCACCCCGGGGCGAUGUGGUUCGUCGGGCCCACCUUCGCCGCGCUCACAGGCCUCGUCUUCAAGGAGGGUCUCUGCUAUGGAAAAUUGGAAGCUGGUAUCUUGACGUUUGUUAUCCCCAUCCUUCUUCUUGGACACCUGUCUGGCUUGAUGGACGAUGGAACAAAAUUGAGCCUCUUAGGAGUGUGGAUGUCACUCUUCACUGUGUUCGCCGCUAGGAAAUUCCAGCAGCCCAUUAAGGACGACAUCGGCGACAAGUCCGUUUUCAUAUUCAACGCCCUCCCCGAAGAGGAAAAGAAGGCUCUGCUGCAGAGGCUCGAGGCGCCAACUGAGCAGAAGUUUGAGUAG
RNAcentral lists this ribosomal RNA (870 nucleotides) under Triticum aestivum (bread wheat). RNAcentral's name for it is "partial small subunit ribosomal RNA". Lineage: Eukaryota; Viridiplantae; Streptophyta; Magnoliopsida; Poales; Poaceae. The record is from RNAcentral.